This is a transfer RNA of Fonsecaea multimorphosa CBS 102226, 82 nucleotides long. It matches the Rfam family "tRNA". From Rfam's summary of the family: Transfer RNA (tRNA) molecules are approximately 80 nucleotides in length. Their secondary structure includes four short double-helical elements and three loops (D, anti-codon, and T loops). NCBI's taxonomy places the organism in Eukaryota, Fungi, Ascomycota, Eurotiomycetes, Chaetothyriales, Herpotrichiellaceae. The record is from Rfam.
GGCCGCGUGGCCUAAUGGUUAAGGCGUUGGUUUUCGGUCACGUGCGCACCAAAGAUUGGGAGUUCGAAUCUUCCCGCGGUCG